ACCAUCGACAAGCAUGUGGCUUAAACCGUUCUGCUACCUUGUGCAGGUGCUUGCUCAUGGCCUGGCCGGACCAACGUUACCACAAUUGCCGCAGCAUGACCAGUCUUCAAGAAAUGAAAUCGACCGUCCCCAUCUACCAAACUUCGCCACGUGCACUUGGACCACAACUACAACACCGAUGCCACGUCACUGCUUUCAUGACGCCAACCCUUCGCUGUUUUGGGAUGCGUCACUUGAGGCGCCACCUAUUCUUCACGUGACGUCGACGCAUCGCUUUAUAAAGGAACAGCUCCAGGCCUACAAUUUCAGUGGGCACGGUGGACCAUCGACAAGCAUGUGGCUUAAACCGUUCUGCUACCUUGUGCAGCUCUUCCUCGUCAUUGCUAUGGUCGGCACGGCCUUCGCCGGACACAUUCCAACACACGCGGUGCCGGUGGCAUCUCUCGCCACAACGUACCAUCACUCCAUCGUCGCGGCACCGGCUUACGUAGCCGCCGCAGUUCCCGCCGUGUCCACCACCGUCCAACACACUCCAGCCGUGUCCAAAGCCACUCGAGUGACCAGCUACCAGACUACACAGCCGGGAGUGCCACACAAAGUGGCCAAGGUAUCCACUUACACCCCCGCUGCCACGGCCGUUCAUACUGUCCAUGUUUCGGUACCCACUGUGGUGACCGGUGUUGUUCAUCAUGCUCCAGCCUACACGUAUGGCUACUAUCCUGCACGCUACAGCUACGCCCACCGCUACGGCUACCAACCGCUUCGCUACGGCUACGUCCACGGCCUUACCCCAUAUGGUCUCAACUAUGGCUACGGAUUGCACGCAUUCGGCUACGUCUCCCCUGUCAAGAAAUAAACGCCAAAGCCAGCACCUAGCGACAACGUCACCUUCCGUGGAACAGAUGCGAAACUCGAGAAGCGACUGCUACUGAUGUGGUGAAAGUCCCUGUACAGUUUGUCGUUCUGUGUUUCUGUCGUAGGGAUGAGUUCCUCAGAAAAAUAAACAA
This is an RNA transcript of Dermacentor albipictus, 1007 nucleotides long. RefSeq lists it as uncharacterized. The record is from RefSeq and is a predicted model, not a curated record. NCBI's taxonomy places the organism in Eukaryota, Metazoa, Arthropoda, Arachnida, Ixodida, Ixodidae.